RNAcentral lists this ribosomal RNA (514 nucleotides) under Lactobacillus sp. DumLac53. RNAcentral describes it as "bacterial SSU rRNA". It matches the Rfam family "Bacterial small subunit ribosomal RNA", at positions 49 to 529 of the family's 1533-position model. The record is from RNAcentral. Lineage: Bacteria; Bacillati; Bacillota; Bacilli; Lactobacillales; Lactobacillaceae.
UAAUACAUGCAAGUCGAGCGAGCGGAACACACAGAUUUACUUCGGUAAUGACGUUGGGAAAGCGAGCGGCGGAUGGGUGAGUAACACGUGGGGAACCUGCCCCUAAGUCUGGGAUACCAUUUGGAAACAGGUGCUAAUACCGGAUAAUAAAGCAGAUCGCAUGAUCAGCUUUUGAAAGGCGGCGUAAGCUGUCGCUAAGGGAUGGCCCCGCGGUGCAUUAGCUAGUUGGUAAGGUAACGGCUUACCAAGGCGACGAUGCAUAGCCGAGUUGAGAGACUGAUCGGCCACAUUGGGACUGAGACACGGCCCAAACUCCUACGGGAAGGCAGCAGUAGGGAAUCUUCCACAAUGGACGCAAGUCUGAUGGAGCAACGCCGCGUGAGUGAAGAAGGUUUUCGGAUCGUAAAGCUCUGUUGUUGGUGAAGAAGGAUAGAGGUAGUAACUGGCCUUUAUUUGACGGUAAUCAACCAGAAAGUCACGGCUAACUACGUGCCAGCAGCCGCGGUAAUACGUA